GAAGCACUGAUUUUCAGAUUGAUUUGGGGCUAUAUGUGCACAUCUGGCCCUGAGUGGAAGCCUCCAAGACCACAUCCCCUGACAUCCUAAGUGAUGUGAGUCUGGCUGAGCAGCACCCACUGGAGGAUGAAUGCUCAUCUGGAAAUACAGGAGUUUCUGGAGCCAUGUCUGAAAAAUGCAGCAAAAAUGGAUCAGGGUUUCCACCCAUCUCAGCCCACUGAGCUCGUGGUGAGGGCAAGACAGCAGCAGAGGGAAAGAGCAUGCCAUCUGAAGUCACAGGCUCCUAGCACCAGCUCCACCACUUAACAGCUGUUUAUCCCCUAUACAGCAGGAAAAAGUCAAGACUGGGCAAAUCUACUUUUGUGUGAUUUCAUCCAAGCAACCAAACACUGCUCAAGAAAAACAACACAGUUUGACUGGCUGGUUGCACAAGUUCAAAACCAUGAAUAUCAAAAGGACACCCACGCUCCCCAGCAAUCCUACCACCCACUGCCUUGUGAGGAAGGUGCUUGCUUUGCCUUCUGCCGUGAUUGUUAAGUUUCCUGAGGCCUCCCCAGCCAUGCAGAACUGUGAGUCAAUUAACCCUCCUUUCCUUUAUAAAUUACCCAGUCUCAGGUAACUCUUUAUUAUAGCAGUGUGAGAAAGGACUAACAUAGUAUGUGAGACGACGAAUAUAUUAAUUAACUAUAGUAAUCACUUCACCAUAUAUAUGUAUUAUCAGAACACCACAUUGUAUACCUCAAAUAUAGACAAGUUUUAAAAUAAGAAAAAUAAAACAAAACUACUAUUUGUUCCCCUUUUUGAAAAAAAACACAUACACACGGAACAUUGAUCCAGAUACACUGUAUGCUGGGCCAUAAAGCAAGUCUCAACAAAUGUCAAAGGAUUGCAAUCAUACAAAAUAUUGAAUUAAACUAAAAAAUAAGCUUUUUAAAAGUCAUUAGAAAAUCCUGGGCCAGGCACGGUGGCUCACACCUGUAAUCCUAGCACUUAGGGAGCCCAAGAUGGGUGGAUCAUCUUAGGUCAGGAGUUCGAGACCAGCCUGGCCAACAUGGUAAAACCCCAUCUCCACUAAAAAUACAAAAAUUAGCCAGGUGUGGUGGCAGGUGCCUGUAAUUCCAGCUACUCAGAGGCUGAGGAAAGAGAAUCAUUUGAAUCCAGGAGGUGGAGGUUGCAGUGAGCCAAGAUCAUGCCACUGCACUCCAGCCUGGGUGACACAGUGAGACUCCAUCUCAAAAAAAAAAAAAAAAAAAAAAAAAGAAAGAAAAGAAAAAGAAAAUCCUAUAUACACCAUGGAACACUAUGCAGCCAUAAAAAGGAAUGAGAUCAUGUCCUUGGCAGGGACAUGGAUGAAGCAGGAACCCCUUAGCCUCAGCAAACUAACCCAGGAACAGAAAACCAAACACUGCAUGUUCUCACUUAUAAGUAGGAGUUGAAAGAUGAGAACACAUGGAUACACGGUGGAGGGAAAAACACACAUUGGGGCUUGUUGGGGUCGGGGGAGGGAGAGCAUCAGGAAGAACAGCUAAUGGAUGCUGGGCUUAACACCUAGGUGAUGGUUGAUCUGUGCAGCAAACCUCCAUGAUACACCUAUGUAACAAACCUGCACAUCCUGCACAUGUACCCUGAAACUUAAAAUAAGAAAAAAAAGAACAAAUCUCCCCAAACUCAGCAACAUAUCACAAGUCUUUUAAAUUUUUUUAGUGGGUUGAUGACCCUUAGUCUCCUAUUCGUUCAUUCUUGCCUUCUUUUGAAAACACAUACACACACACACACACACACACACACACACGCCCAAAGAAAAUUUAACUCCAAGUAUCUGCACCUGAGAAAGGAGCUCCAUUGCCAAGUAUUUUGCCCCCAGGAAUGACAUGUUGUUUUAACAUCUCCAUGACUUCCUGCAGGUCAGCCCUUCUUGGCCACCAUUCUGACCCUGUUGGUAGUUAUAAUAACCACCUGGCUUCUGGGGCCUAAGCACUGCCAUUUGUCCUCAAUUGCUUCAGGCUCCAUAUCCCAGUUGCCAUCAGUGAGCCCACUCCUGUGACAACUUCUUCUGUCACCAUUGCUCCCUGCUGAGGGAGCCACCACCGACCACCAACACCCUUUCACAGCUCAAUCUGGAUGGCCUUGGUGGAUGAUGUGUCCUCUAGGCCUUCCCAUGGAAUAUAGACCUCUAGUGAGCUGAUUGGCCUCACAGAAUAUAUCCAUUUUAGCAUGCUCACUUCUUGUGUAAUCCCUUAUUCUAUCAUCUACCAGAGAAAUUCAGGUAUUUCAACCUUGCUCAGCAUGGGACAUUGCCUUUUCCAAUCUUCUAGGAGCCACCUUAGCAGCAAGUUUGCAUCAUUUCCAGGUAUUAUAUCCCAAAAGAGUUUCCUCUAAGUCAGUCAGGAGAUCGAGACCACCCUGGCUAACAUGGUGAAACCCUGUCUCUACUAAAAAUACAAAAAAAAUUAGCUGGACGUAGAGGUGGGUGCCUGUAGUCCCAGCUACUCGGGAGGCUGAGGCAGGAGAAUGGCGUGAACCCAGGAGGCAGAGCUUGCAGUGAGCCGAGAUAGCGCCACUGCACUUCAGCCUGGGUGACAGAGCGAGACUCCGUCUCAAAAAAAAAAAAAAAAGUUCCUCUAAGUCAAGAAACUCUCUCAUCUCCAGUAUUACGAUCACUCCCCGGCCUUGAUUAAGCACCCUCAGAAUCUAGUCCCACACUGCUGGUCCAUGCUGUCUAGGGCUGUAGACCCUUUCCUCUCUUAGCUCAUGCAGCAUAUGCCCUGAUGGGCUUAUGUUGCAACUUAACUCUGGUUCUAAGUCUGGCAGCACCAGGACAGGGGAACAGCUCCUGAGUUGGGCACCUAUUGACCUGAGGUAGAGAGACUUCUGUCCUGUUGCUCUGUGGAGUGCUGGUUUGUAAUGGGAUGGAUGAGCCACUCAGGAUAGGCCAGAACUAUCAGUCCUGAGCCUCAUAUCCCACCUUUUCUGUUAGCCUACUGCAAGGCAUGAGAACUGCUUUGCAAACUCUCAUACUUAAUUUUUUUAUUGUUAAUUGCUCUCAGGUUUCUAAAUUUGCAUUCACUGUUGUCUUAUCAUCCCAUAGGGCUUGGAUGCACUUGAUAAUGACCAUCCAUAACAACCAGCAGGAUUGGGCAGGGAACCAUCAAAUCACAAUGCAGAUUUAACUCCGUCUUUGCACCUCAAAAAGGGGCUCCAAAUUUUCUCUCUUGCUCGUCUGCUUUGUAUCUCUUUGCCUUCUGCUCUUAUCUUUAUUAUUUCCAUCCUUCUAUUUUGUUUGUGCUUAAUUUGCUGUUCUUUUUCUAGCUCCUUGAUAUAGAUACUUGAAUAAUCGAUUUUUUUUCUAGAAUAGGCUGUAGUAGACAUAGAGAUGUGCCACUCUGAUAACCCUUCAAAAAAGAACUGUGGGCCAGGUUGGGUGGCACAUGCCUGUAAUCCAGUGCUUUGGGAAGCCAAGUUGAGAGAUUCACUUGGGGCCAGGAGUUUAGGACCAGCCUGGGCAACAUAGCAAGACCCUAUCUCCACAAAAAUAAGAAAUUAGCCAGGCAUGGAGGCAUGCACUUGUAGUCCUGCCUACUCAGGAGGCUGAGGUGGGAGUUCAAGAGGUCGAGGCUACAGUGAUCUAUGAUCAUACCACUGCACUCCAGUCGGUGACAGAGUGAGACUGCCCAGCUGCUUAUAAGAGUGGUCAUAUGACAGUCUCCAGAAGGCAAUAGAAGAGAAAGCAGAUGGAUAAGAGAGAAAACACAGAAGUCAAAAGUUGGUUGUUUGGAAAGACUAAUAAAAUUGAUAACUUCCUAGCAAGAUUUAUUAAGAAAAAGAGACAUAAAGAAAGAGAAUACAAACUGCCAAUAUCAGGAUUCAAUAUAGAUGAAAAAGAUAAGAAAACAUUAUGAAUCAUUUUUGCCAAUACAUUUGACAACUUAGAUAAAAUGGGCAGAAUCCUUUAAAAGCAUGACUUACUAAAAUAGCCACAGAGAAAAUUGAAAUUUUAAAUAAUCCCAAAUCUGUCAAAGUAAUUGAAUCCAUAAUUUAAAAACUUUUCCACAAAGAAAACUCUGGUUCCAGAUAGUAUCACUGGUAAAUUCUUCCAAACAUUUGAGGAAGAAAUCAUACUUACCUUGUAUUAACUCUGUUAGAAAAUAGAGACCAGGGACUACUUUCUAGCUUGUUUUAUGAGGCUUGAUAGCAUAAUAUGUCAAGAAUAUUAUAAGAAAGUAAAAUUAUAGGCCAAUUUCUGUCAGACUAAGGCAGAAAUUCAAAACAAAAUAAUAACAAAUCAGAUUCAGCAAGUGUGGUUUAUCCUAGGAAGGCAAGAUUGAUUUAAUAUUCAAAAAUCAAUCAAUGCAAUUCAUCACAUUAACAGAAUAAGUGACAAAUAUAUAAUCAUCUCAGUAGAUUUAGAAAAGUUAUUUGAUUAAAUUCAAUACCCAUUCAUCAUUUUAAAAACCCUCAGCAAAAUAGAAUUAAAAGGAAACUUCCUCAAUCUCAUAAAGGGUAGAACAAAACACCCACAGCUAACAAUAAAGUUGAAACAGUGAACUUUUUCCCCUAUCAGAGCCAGGCAAGGAUGUCCACUAUGGUUUUUCUUUCAACUGUUAAUUGUUCAUUCUAGCCAGUGUAAUGAGGCCAGAAAAAUAAGUAAAACAUAUAAAACUUGUACAGAAAAAUGUAAAACGUUCAUUUGAAAAUUAUGUGACUGUUAACAUAAAAUAUUCAAAAUAAUCUACAAACUAUUGAAUUUAAUGACUGAAUUGAGUGCGGUUACUAGAUGCAUGGUCAAUAUACAAAAAUCGGAUCAGUUAGGAGGUAGUGUCACAUAUUCUAAAAGUUGACUUCAAACUCUUUCCUACCCUUGGCAAUUUAUCUAGCUUCUCCAUACAGGUGAUCUUCUUAGUUUAGAUGGGGGGAAAAACCUGCUAGAACAACUCUAACAUUCUUUGAAUGAGAGUGAGUGGUGCUCCCAAGAGAAGAAAUUGGUCUUUGUUUAGGGAAACAACUUUUUCAUGAGUUGUUGGUUAUGAAAUGUAAGACUCAAGGUUUUCACCAGAAUGGGGAGGAUCUGUAAAAGAGAACUAAAGUUAUCUUCAUAAUAAUAUAAAAGACUAACCUCUGAGGAGAGAGCAUUUUGAGUUGUUUCCUGUUUUGUAUCUUAUUUCCUCUCUGUUGUCCUCCAAUGCAGCAAAACUAUAUUAAUUGCUUAAUUAGUGUCAGAUGUAUUUUGGAAUUUUCUUAGGAAAUAAAGGAAGGGCUGUGAUCAGAUUGGUGGGUGAAUUGAACCACAGAAAACAGAAAGCAAUAAAGUAUAGCAAACCAGGGAGGCAACCCAACAGCCAAAAGUGGUCUAGAAUAAUCUGACAACUGGAGUUUGCAGUUGACAGAUGCUGUCUGGGAAUUUUCAGAAAUAUUUCGGAGGGGACUAAAUUUACUAAAAUCAAAAGUGAGAUGUGGACUCAAGUUAUUUUAUUUGGAUAUAAAAAAUAGUUACACCUCAGUUAUCUAUAGACUUGGGGAUAUUCAGUUUCAUUAUAAUUACUGUACUGAUGAAUAACUUUUGUAUGAAAAUAGUAUAUCACAUAACUUGCAAAGCACUUUACUUUUUAUUAUAUAAUUUCACAGAUAAUUCAUUAUUGUUUUAUUCUCCAAACCUGUCCCAAUACGUGGAAGAGAUGAUAUAUAUUUUCCCUAAAUAAUACUUUUAAGGUAUUUAAACAGAACCUAACACCAUUUUAGAAUAGAGCCAUGCAAUGAUUUCUUCAGGAUUAUUAAGUAAUCCAUUCUAUUUACCAUAGAGCAAACACCCAGCUCAUUUGAAAUUGUUUGCUUGUUUGUUUUUUAGAGAUGGGGUCUUGCCGUGUUGCCCAGGCUGGAUUAGAAUUCCUGGGCUCAAAAGAUUCUGCUGUUUCAGCCUCAUCAGUAGCUGAGACUAUAAACAUGUACCACCUCACCCAGCUGAAAUAAGAUUUUAAAUUUGAAAGUAGACCUCACCUUUCAAGGACAUCUUUAUUAGAGAGCAUGUUGAUACUCUCUAGUGGCUUGGGCCAGAUGGCCCUAUAAUUCUCCCCCCUUCAGGUUCUAUAAUGCAUGGAGAUGGAAGAGAAUGAAUAAAGAGAACGUCAGAAAGGCUCAAGUGUCAAAAGAGAAAUGUACCAAUUAUACUGCUUCCCUUAGCAAAAGUGAACCUGGGAUUAGCAUGGCAGCGAUGGAGGUCACAUCUGUCUGUGAGGAGCAGAGACAUCAUUAAAUAGCUUUUGUUUUAUCAAUGAAUAAUGUCAUCUGGCUUUUCUUCCCUUAAACUAGAGCUAAUUGAUCAGCUCUCUCUUCCUCAAAAAAGGUGUUAUCUUACACAUUAACUGCAAAGCACUUUCAAAGUUUUUCCUCGAGCAGCCCACAGCAACCAAGGAAAGAAACUCCACAUGUGCAC
This 6427-nucleotide long non-coding RNA is filed under the name Homo sapiens (human). RNAcentral describes it as "HSALNT0100380". The record is from RNAcentral. Lineage: Eukaryota; Metazoa; Chordata; Mammalia; Primates; Hominidae.